Molecule: long non-coding RNA, 406 nt
Filed under: Nicotiana benthamiana
Lineage: Eukaryota; Viridiplantae; Streptophyta; Magnoliopsida; Solanales; Solanaceae
Description: long non-coding RNA (NBEN_LNC002164)
Source: RNAcentral
UUUCUUGAGAGAUAGACCGAAAACAGCCUCUCUACCUGCACAAAGUAGGGAUAAGGCUGCAUACGCAUUACCCUCUCCAUGCCCCUAUUUGGGUUUGUUAUUGUUAUUUUUUAGAGAUAGAAGAUUGGUUUGCUGGUUAUACAAUGUACUGUAAUUUGUAAGAGAAGAAUUUGGAACAAGAUAAAAUGGGAAAUUUUAUUAUCAUCUUAAUUGUAGUACAACUCAUAUAUUCAAUUACAAUUCAAAAUUGAUUACUGUUGGUGGUCUGCAACUGCAAAUGAGCUUCAAUGGAAUCCUGAAUUUGUACUCUCUCCGUAAUUGCUUCUAAAUACUAGAUAAUAUAAAUAAUGCUAAUGAACAAAGUUUGUGUCAACUAAUCAAUCUUACCAAUCUUGCAGUGAAGGCU